Molecule: long non-coding RNA, 487 nt
Filed under: Mustela putorius furo (domestic ferret)
Lineage: Eukaryota; Metazoa; Chordata; Mammalia; Carnivora; Mustelidae
Description: lncRNA (ENSMPUG00000023992.1)
Source: RNAcentral
GAGAAGCAAGGCGGUGAACACUGGAUUUGAAAUUGGAUUCUGUCCUUUACUAGAUAUGUAACUUUACAAGGAGGCCUAAAUCUAUAAAGCGUUGCUUUAUUCAACUGGCAAAUACAGAUACUGUUGCCCAGCUUGUAUUGUUGGGAAUCAAAUGAGAGGAUGCUUAAGAGUCUGAAUGAAUGGAAGGAAGGAAAGAUCCAUGAGAACAGAAUUGUUGCCUUUCCCAUUCACCCAGGAUCUUCAGCAUCAAGAACAGGACCCGUGCAGGGAACUAGUCUUAACAAAGCAAAACUGCUUGAUAUCCAGUACCACUGCUUUUCUAAAUGAUGUGAUUAUGAUCAGUCCUUUUUCACAUUUCCUCGGCCACAAAUGAUGGGGUGCUGUGUGCCACAGUUCAAUUAUUUGGUGUUAUCUAAUCUAGAAUCAAGUUCACAUAUAUUUAUGUGAACGAAGGUAAGUGAAAUGGGAGGGAAAAGGUAGCAACUAA